CGCCUCCAUUCCUAAUCUGACUAUUUCCGCCUCCAUUCUCAAUCUCUCAGCCUCCAGCCGUGCUCCAGCCAUCCACGCCGCCUCCGCCCUCCAGCAGUGCAGCCGUCUACGCCGCCUCCACCCUCCAGCAGUUUAACAAAGCUCAUUCAAAGCUUAUGAGAAAAUCUAUGGGCAAAAGAUAUGGCCAAAGCUCAUCCCUUGGAAGUAUUGAAGACUUGGAAUGAAUUUACAUUGUUAUGUUCUAGAUUAAUUAGGUGUCAUGAAACUCUAUUUUUUAUGUUUUGGCCUAAAUAUUUAUUUUUGUUGUUUGAUGGAUGUAAUUAUGUUAUGGUUUUAUGAUUUCUAGUGUUAAUUUUCAGUUUUAA
Long non-coding RNA from Salvia splendens (bonfire salvia), 365 nucleotides. RefSeq lists it as uncharacterized. NCBI's taxonomy places the organism in Eukaryota, Viridiplantae, Streptophyta, Magnoliopsida, Lamiales, Lamiaceae. The record is from RefSeq and is a predicted model, not a curated record. The transcript has 2 exons.